Molecule: long non-coding RNA, 1519 nt
Organism: Polyodon spathula (Mississippi paddlefish)
Lineage: Eukaryota; Metazoa; Chordata; Actinopteri; Acipenseriformes; Polyodontidae
Exons: 3
Source: RefSeq, a predicted model, not a curated record
GGAGAGGAGCAGCUGGAGGGCAGCCAGGGUGGUGACUCUGGAGAGAACAGGCUGCGGGUGCAGAGACAACUGCAUCAAUCAACACUGAUGGAGCACACUACAGUGUGGCAGUACGAGGAGAGGGCUGUGAAGAAAGAGGGGGAGGAGUGUGGUGAAGAUGCAGAAAAAGCGAUGGACCCCAGGGAUUCAGAAGAUGUCGGGAGUUGGGCUGGACCUGGGGAGAAAGGGGUUUAAGAGCCGGAGUGUCAGUAGACGCAUCUGUACGUGCAUAUGUCACACUACAGAAAGCGUGCACAUCCGAUUUAUCCAGCUGGGAUGACACGGGAUGGAUGUUGUUUUGCACAUCUUCUCCAGGGUGUGUGUUCUACAGGUACACCUGUCGGCACAUGAAGCAGCAUGAUGAUGAGGCCUCCUAUCGGUUUCCCUGAGACAAGGGAAGGACAACUUGUACUUUCACGAGAUUCACCCCAAAGACAUCACCUGAUGGACCAGAAGAGAGGGGAACCCCAUCCUGCACCCCAGGGCAGACUUUGAGGAACCAGCUUCCUGAUAAGAUACCAUUUCUAUUUUGUAAACUUUUAACUUCUGCAUCUGGGGUGGAGAUGGGGUAGGUCUACUAUUAAUUAUUAAAAGUAUGAAUUAUUGAACGUAUCAAUACCCGGGUCUACAUGGAGGCACCCUUUCAUAGGUACUGCAGAUAACUUAAUAUCUGAGAGUCUGUAUUGGCAGUUACUUCAAUGCUGAGGAGGUUGCACAUUGUCAAGUGUUGAAAGGUGGUAUGAAGACAUUGCUGCACUGUCCACUCUAUAUACUGUCCUCGCUACAGACUAAUCCCAGGGCUUAAAGGACUGAGCUACGAAGAAAGGCUGAAAGAACUGAAUCAAUUGGGCUGGGAACAAAGAAGAAUGAGAAAGAAAAUUACUGUAGUACAUUUGGAAAUCAAGAUAGACUUGACAGAGGGAAGGAGACACUCCCCCACACAGAGUGGUGAGGGCAUGGAAUGGGUUACCUAGUCAUGUUGUUGAGGCAGGAACCCUUGGCUCCUUAAGACACAACUUGACUACCGAGAUGAAUCGGCUACUUGGAACCGGAUAAGCUUAGAUGUACUGAGCCUCUUGUUUGUCAAUUUUAUAUUCUUACUUCCUUCCAACUGGUCACCAGAGCCAACUCUAAAGGUGUAUUGGUUUCUAUUUCACUACUCGUAAAGGUUCAAUACCAUUUUUUUCUAGUUUUAAAUGACUAUUUCUAAGAGGUUUUCGUCAUUUUGAAGCAUUGCUAGCGAGCAGCCCUCUCCUCCACGCAGGUAUUACAGUCCUCUACUGCUCUCUGCCCAUUCCUUUCUUUCUUACAGUGGGAACUCUGAACUCAGUCACCUGCUCUGCAGUUUCAGUAAGAAAGCAGCAGGACAACACAGCAUGGAUCUAUACUACCGGACCCUUUCAUGUUUUCCAGCACAGUGUUUCAAACAGUUCACAGUUUGGUUGCAGAACAAAAGCAGAGAAUAAAUCUUGACUUCCUU